UGGGUCUCGCUAUAUGUAUUGUUUGGUUGG
Molecule: non-coding RNA, 30 nt
Filed under: Mus musculus (house mouse)
Lineage: Eukaryota; Metazoa; Chordata; Mammalia; Rodentia; Muridae
Source: RNAcentral